RNAcentral lists this long non-coding RNA (1071 nucleotides) under Sorghum bicolor (sorghum). RNAcentral describes it as "long non-coding RNA (SBIC_LNC012859)". Lineage: Eukaryota; Viridiplantae; Streptophyta; Magnoliopsida; Poales; Poaceae. The record is from RNAcentral.
CACACUAAGCAAAAGAUAUAUAUAUAUAUAAGCACAAAAUCUUUAUUUGGUUUUUCAUGGUUAUGUAUAUUUUUAUUUUAAUAUAGUAUAAGUAUAAAUGUAGAUAGAAAUACUUAGCGGGAUAAAUGGGGGUGCUCUCCCACAAGCUGAAUUUUGACGUAAUUUCUUCUGAUGUACCUAGCAGGUGGUAGAGGUGUAUUUGAAAGUCGGUAGUACCCUGACAGCGAUUAGGAUGUCCUCCGUCUGCUAGUCUUCUUGAUCCUUGAAUUCUGUGGAGCUCAAAAAGACAACAAAGCGUUGUGGAACUGAUUAAGUGUUAGCAUAAAUAUCUAGCCUUUAUCAUGUUGAGCCUCCUCAAUAAAUGUUACUCUCUUUAUAUUUUUUAUUUUUUAUAGAGCAGAAAAGAUUAUUUAUUUUAUUUUUAUGCCACCACAGUGAAUGUACUUAUGGGUUUGUUGAUGCAAAACUGAUCUGCAAACACAAAGGGCUAAUACCCGAUUCAAAUGUUAAGGCGUGCCAGCCGAUUUGACCUCGCUAUCGGCAAAGGUGAUAACUCGAAUACUUUAGUCCUGACAACAGCGAUGCGCCCGGAUGUCACGGCUAAGAGGUACUCACGCGGAACUCGAGAACACGCCGAGCUUAAGUCGACGAAUUCCUAAGAACUCGUAAUAAAAGGAAAAAAGUAUGACGAAGUCGUCGAAAAGUAGAUGCUGGAAUAUGAGUAAAAACGUGUGUUUGAUUGAUUUCUUCAUUCCUGAUUACAAGGUCCUAGGGUUUAUAUUUAUACCCUGCUCAAAGAGCUACGACCAGACACGAUUAGAAUUCGAAUUCCAAAUUACACGGAAUCCGUAUACAAAACGAUGCAAAUAACUAAGGAAAUAAUAAAACUAUCCUUCGUGACAAACCGAAACUCCUCCACAUGACAACUGGCAGCUUCCGGACUCCUCCUUCACGUCAUCGGCAAUCCCCUUGCCAUAGUCAUCGGCAGACCUUUUUACCCAGUCAUCGGCACCAUAUUACUGCCUGUGGACUUAGUCACAUUCAACCUCUCCCUCAUCGGCAACCAUCCUC